RNAcentral lists this ribosomal RNA (935 nucleotides) under Cellulosimicrobium funkei. RNAcentral's name for it is "bacterial SSU rRNA". It matches the Rfam family "Bacterial small subunit ribosomal RNA", at positions 1 to 954 of the family's 1533-position model. The record is from RNAcentral. Lineage: Bacteria; Bacillati; Actinomycetota; Actinomycetes; Micrococcales; Promicromonosporaceae.
CUAGAGUUUGAUCCUGGCUCAGGACGAACGCUGGCGGCGUGCUUAACACAUGCAAGUCGAACGAUGAUGCCCAGCUUGCUGGGCGGAUUAGUGGCGAACGGGUGAGUAACACGUGAGUAACCUGCCCUUGACUUCGGGAUAACUCCGGGAAACCGGGGCUAAUACCGGAUAUGAGCCGCCUUCGCAUGGGGGUGGUUGGAAAGUUUUUCGGUCAGGGAUGGGCUCGCGGCCUAUCAGCUUGUUGGUGGGGUGAUGGCCUACCAAGGCGACGACGGGUAGCCGGCCUGAGAGGGCGACCGGCCACACUGGGACUGAGACACGGCCCAGACUCCUACGGGAGGCAGCAGUGGGGAAUAUUGCACAAUGGGCGAAAGCCUGAUGCAGCGACGCCGCGUGAGGGAUGAAGGCCUUCGGGUUGUAAACCUCUUUCAGCAGGGAAGAAGCGCAAGUGACGGUACCUGCAGAAGAAGCGCCGGCUAACUACGUGCCAGCAGCCGCGGUAAUACGUAGGGCGCAAGCGUUGUCCGGAAUUAUUGGGCGUAAAGAGCUCGUAGGCGGUUUGUCGCGUCUGGUGUGAAAACUCGAGGCUCAACCUCGAGCUUGCAUCGGGUACGGGCAGACUAGAGUGCGGUAGGGGAGACUGGAAUUCCUGGUGUAGCGGUGGAAUGCGCAGAUAUCAGGAGGAACACCGAUGGCGAAGGCAGGUCUCUGGGCCGCAACUGACGCUGAGGAGCGAAAGCAUGGGGAGCGAACAGGAUUAGAUACCCUGGUAGUCCAUGCCGUAAACGUUGGGCACUAGGUGUGGGGCUCAUUCCACGAGUUCCGUGCCGCAGCAAACGCAUUAAGUGCCCCGCCUGGGGAGUACGCGCAAGCUAAAACUCAAAGGAAUUGACGGGGGCCCGCCACAAGCGGCGGAGCAUGCGGAUUAAUUUCGA